Molecule: ribosomal RNA, 445 nt
Filed under: uncultured bacterium
Lineage: Bacteria
Description: partial 16S ribosomal RNA
Rfam family: Bacterial small subunit ribosomal RNA
Source: RNAcentral
GUGGGGAAUAUUGGACAAUGGGCGAAAGCCUGAUCCAGCCAUGCCGCGUGUGUGAAGAAGGUCUUCGGAUUGUAAAGCACUUUAAGUUGGGAAGAACCGUCCUCAUUAAUGAGUGACCUGACGGUACCAUAGGAAUAAGCACCGGCUAACUCCGUGCCAGCAGCCGCGGUAAUACGGAGGGUGCAAGCGUUAUCCGGAUUCACUGGGUUUAAAGGGUGCGUAGGCGGAUAAAUAAGUCAGUGGUGAAAUCAACGGGCUCAACCUGUUAACUGCCAUUGAUACUGUGUAUCUUGAAUAUGAGAGAGGUAGGCGGAAUGUUGCAUGUAGCGGUGAAAUGCUUAGAUAUGCUACGGAACACCGAUUGCGAAGGCAGCUUACUAUUUCGUAAUUGACGCUGAGGCACGAAAGCGUGGGUAGCGAACAGGAUUAGAAACCCCGGUAGUCC